AUUGAACGCUGGCGGCAGGCCUAACACAUGCAAGUCGAACGGUAACAGAAAGCAGCUUGCUGCUUUGCUGACGAGUGGCGGACGGGUGAGUAAUGUCUGGGAAACUGCCUGAUGGAGGGGGAUAACUACUGGAAACGGUAGCUAAUACCGCAUAACGUCGCAAGACCAAAGAGGGGGACCUUCAGGCCUCUUGCCAUCGGAUGUGCCCAGAUGGGAUUAGCUAGUAGGUGGGGUAACGGCUCACCUAGGCGACGAUCCCUAGCUGGUCUGAGAGGAUGACCAGCCACACUGGAACUGAGACACGGUCCAGACUCCUACGGGAGGCAGCAGUGGGGAAUAUUGCACAAUGGGCGCAAGCCUGAUGCAGCCAUGCCGCGUGUAUGAAGAAGGCCUUCGGGUUGUAAAGUACUUUCAGCGGGGAGGAAGGGAGUAAAGUUAAUACCUUUGCUCAUUGACGUUACCCGCAGAAGAAGCACCGGCUAACUCCGUG
Molecule: ribosomal RNA, 490 nt
Filed under: uncultured bacterium
Lineage: Bacteria
Description: partial 16S ribosomal RNA
Rfam family: Bacterial small subunit ribosomal RNA
Source: RNAcentral